This is a long non-coding RNA of Magnolia sinica, 784 nucleotides long. RefSeq lists it as uncharacterized. The record is from RefSeq and is a predicted model, not a curated record. Lineage: Eukaryota; Viridiplantae; Streptophyta; Magnoliopsida; Magnoliales; Magnoliaceae. The transcript is spliced from 3 exons.
UAUAGAUAUGUUAUAUGUAUACAAACAUGCUACAAGGAUUUAAUUGUGUUUGUUUUAUUUGUAUCAUGCAGAAGGCUUCCUUCUACAAAUGUUUAGUCACCUGACAUAAAUGCACUGUAGUUCUAGAAAUGAGAAGAUGUGUGAAGUCGUGCAGGAUGUUGCAAACUAUUUCCCAACGGCAAUAAUUAGUGGAAGAUGACGUGAUAAGGCAUUGUCACGGAUGGCACAUAGCCCAAAUAUGCUAGUCAGUGUAUCGUAGCUGCCGAGUGGACUUAUGGGAUUACAAAUGUUCUGAAGACGGGUAUUGAUGCUGCCAAGUUCCUUGCAUAUUAAGAUAAGUUUACCAAAUUCAUUCUGUAAACCAAAGCUUAAACACUCUGCAACUGAAUGUUCAAACUCAGAGCUGUUGGAUGGUUGUAAUGAAUUCUCUAUAUCUUGGAUCCCCAUUCGCAUUGAGUUUGUGUUAGCAUUAUCAUCUAGUUUGAAGCCGCCGGGCUACUUUGACCCCUUUCCAUCUUGGUCACAUUCUUGUUUUUUUUUUUUUUUUGGCUAACGUAUAUAUGGGGGCUAAUCCCUUCGCACUCAGUCUCUCAUACAAACUCUGCUAUUUGUAGUUGGCAUAUGGUGGUAUCAAUGGUUGCAGGACAAACUGUACAACUGCCCCAUUGUUCGAGGCAUUUGGAGUGCCCUUUCAGUCAGGUCCAUAUGAGUCCAUCCAAAAAAAAAAAAAACAGGGGCAUGCAUUGGGUACAUCGCCGGUAUCAGUCAAAUACAUCCAAUACAA